This is a non-coding RNA of Myotis lucifugus (little brown bat), 75 nucleotides long. NCBI's taxonomy places the organism in Eukaryota, Metazoa, Chordata, Mammalia, Chiroptera, Vespertilionidae. The record is from Rfam.
GGCAAUUCUCAGGUGACACACCCUGGAACCGGACUCCCUCCUCUCUGGUGCCAGCUGCGUCACCCAAGAACCGCA